This 8772-nucleotide long non-coding RNA is filed under the name Volvox carteri. Its description in RNAcentral is "long non-coding RNA (VCAR_LNC000252)". Lineage: Eukaryota; Viridiplantae; Chlorophyta; Chlorophyceae; Chlamydomonadales; Volvocaceae. The record is from RNAcentral.
CACCACCACCACCGCCACCACCACCGCCACCACCUCCACCACCUCCACCGCCCCCGCCACCGCCACCACCACCACCGCCCCCGCCACCACCGAUCCGGAUCCGGAUCCAGGCAACGUGGCGGGGGGCACUUCCAGCGGGUCGUCAAACUCCUUCGUGGCGGUGGUGUUGCCGCUGGAGGCCGCUAAUGGGUUGCUGGUGGUGCAGGGACAGCAGCAGCAGCAACAACAACAGACAACGACCACUGCACAGGUACGGCAGGAGUUGUAACCCGGGGAACCUCCAGUUCGCUGGGGGUUAAGGGGGGGGGAAAUGGGAGUUGCUGGGAAGCAGGAAACCGCCAAACACAUCCCAGCCCCAUCCGUAACCUCUCCCUCUCCCCCCACCGGCCCCGCACACCUCCCCUCCCUUUCCCAGAGCGGCUCUGGUGCCGUACUGGGUCCCGGUUUCGUAGUGGGCCUUAUCGUGGGCGGUCUGGUGCUGCUGGGGUCACUGACGGCCGUGGGGUGUGUGUAUCGGCGACAGAGGCGGCGGCACCGCAACCUGUUUGGGCAGGUGGGAGGGGGAGUGGGGGGGAGUGGGGGUGGGGGGCGGUGUGUACGGNNNNNNNNNNNNNNNNNNNNNNNNNNNNNNNNNNNNNNNNNNNNNNNNNNGNGGGGGGGGAAAUGGGGAAUGGGACUGCGCUUCUGAGGUAUAGGGUAUAAGUAGGGGGAUGGUGUGGGAUACUGUUUCAUGUCUUGCCUGGAGGGUGUGUCGUGUCAGGAUGUUUCUCCUGCCCGUCAUCCCCUUUUCGAUUCCCAUGAACCGCAGAUUCUUUCGUGUUGGCUUUUCAUGACCCUUUCGAGGCGGUACUCUUCGCCGUGAAGGCCCAGCAGCAGCGGGGAUCCUCAGAGUCGACCNNNNNNNNNNNNNNNNNNNNNNNNNNNNNNNNNNNNNNNNNNNNNNNNNNNNNNNNNNNNNNNNNNNNNNNNNNGUGGGAGGGGGAGUGGGGGGGAGUGGGGGUGGGGGGCGGUGUGUACGGGUGAACGUGUGUUGUUGCUGGUGGGCGAGUGUGGGACGAGGAGGAGGAGGAGGAGGGAGUGGAGUCAUGACGGGAUCAAUGGGGGGGUAUUAACGGGAUGGCGGUGGCGGGCCCCCAAAGGGCUUUUAGAGCCAUUUUCUCAUGCUGCUAACGCACAUACAUACAUACAUACAUACAUACAUACAUACAUACAUACAUACAUACAUACAUACAUACAUACAUACAUACAUACAUACAUACAUACAUACAUACAUACAUACAUACAUACACCCCACCAUUUUCUUCUCGCGGCUCUCAAAUUGUUAAAACUCGACAGAAAUGAUGUUUGUCUUCGUUUGCCUCCCCGCAGCCCGCCCUGCCCAUCCCCGCCUACCCCCCGGGUGCUAUGACACCGCACACUCGUACGUGUGUGUACGUGUGUAUGUAUGCAGGUCCGUCCCCCCGGCGCGGGUCCCCACACCACCCUAUGCAUCACCGACAUAGACAGCAGCACGGUGAGGGGCUACUACCACAACACACAACACACACACACACACACAAACACACACAAACACAAACACACAAACACAAACACACAAACACACAAACACAAACACACUCACACAAACACACAAACACAAACACACAAACACAAACACACACACACACACAAUGCAAGCAGCGUCGGCACAGUUGCACAGGUCACAGUUGCAUAGGUCCCAUCACGGUGGUACGUUCCGUCGUGACGCCUUCGUCUGGCUCGUGAUCGUAACGCACACAUGCACCCUUGCAGCACAGCAUGCCCCCCCAACCCCCAACCCCCAACCCAGUUGCAAUUCCCCCCAUCGUUAUUGCACUGCCAUCAUUGCCUUUCUCGUCUCGCUUCAUCAGGGGGGAAGUCAGGGGAAUGCUUAUCACAAUAAACACAAUAAAAAAACUGGUGACCCUAUCUGCCAUCCCAACCCGCCCAUAUCCCCGUCUCUCCGCCCACCUCCCAGUCCUCCACCUUACACGCUUCUUUGACUUUUGCACUGAAUCCCCCUCACCUCCACCACCACCUCCACCACCACCUCCACCACCGCCACCUCCACCACCACCUCCACCACCACCUCCACCACCACCGGCACCUGGCCCCGGUCCCCAGACUCUGUGGGAGUCACUACCUGCCAGUGCGAUGGAGGCGGCGAUGGAGGUGCAUGGUGAGAGCUGGGGGGAAGAGGACGGGGAAGGAGGGGGAAAGGGGAAGAUGCAAAAACUGUGUUUGUAAGAUUUGUACGACAACGAGAACACUCAUCGGUUGAGAAGUUGGUUUUUUGGGGAGGGUGGGGUGGGGCCAGAUCUCUGGGCCACCGACAUGUGUGUGUGUGUGUGUUUGCACCCGCGUCUCCCUACCGCCUUAAACCCCCUCCCAUUUCCCCGGGGCCCCCCCUCAACGCCCCCCUCCUACACUACCCCACUGCCACCAUCGCGGUCCAGACGCGACCUUACGCAGCUUGGCGACGUUGCAUGACGGCUACGAGUCGGCCAACGAGGGAGGUGAGUGGGGGCGGGGUGGGGUGGGGUGAGGGGAGGUGAGGGGGGGGAGGGAAAGGGAGGGGAGAGGGGGGGGAAAUGGGGAAUGGGACUGCGCUUCUGAGGUAUAGGGUAUAAGUAGGGGGAUGGUGUGGGAUACUGUUUCAUGUCUUGCCUGGAGGGUGUGUCGUGUCAGGAUGUUUCUCCUGCCCGUCAUCCCCUUUUCGAUUCCCAUGAACCGCAGAUUCUUUCGUGUUGGCUUUUCAUGACCCUUUCGAGGCGGUACUCUUCGCCGUGAAGGCCCAGCAGCAGCUGCUGCUAGCCAAGUGGCCCGAUGCGCUGCUGCGACAUGAAAAGGUGAAACACACGGUAGCGUCCGACGGACGUGUGCAUCGCGCGCACAUCAGCGAUGGUGAUGCCGUACUGCCGUACAUGUAGUAACAUGUGCCGUACUACCAUUACAAAUGAACAUUAUUAACAUACACGCGCCCCUCCGCAUACACCCGCUCUCCCGCCUCCAGGCCGAGGCGGUGUUCAUGACACUGGUCAGCGACAGUUCCCUCCUGACCUCCGCCUGCAGCACAUCCUCCUGGUGCGCACAAAUGAUGCAAGUAGUCCACAGCAAGGCCAUAACCGCACACGCCCCCCGCGGCGGCGGCGGCGGCGGCGGCGGUGGUGGCGGCGGCGGCGGAGGACGACUGGGGCCGCUGGGCCUCGCCCUGGGGCUGGGCAGUUUGACCGGCGGAAGGGGGGAGUCGUUGAAUUUCGGCCUCCGCGCGCAUGGACUUCAGAAAACGAUGUGGGAGGCCGCGCGCAGUGUACGGCGUCGCCUGGCGUCCGUCAGCGGCGCGGCAGGGGGGAGUCCUAGCACUGGGCCCGACCCUUUGAGGCAGAGCAGUGGGCAGGCAGCGGCGGCGGGGAUGGCGCCGGCAGCGCCAGGCAGUGACAGCGGAAUCGUGAUGUCGUGGGUUGGUGGCAGCGGCGGCGGUGGCGACGGCGACGGCGACGGCGAUGGCACGUUUGAGGUGGCGAUGGCGUCAAGAGGACACCUGACGGCGGCGGCGGUGGCGGCGGCGGCGGCAGGGACAGCGACGGGGGAGGCAGGGGCAAGUGGCUUGCAGGUCUUCGCUGCCGGCGGCGGCGGCGGCGGCGGCGGCGUCCGAAGCGGUGGAAUAGGCGGGGACUGGGACCGUGUUCAGUUGCGCGGCUACUCCUCGGGUCAGGUAGUCCAAAUCAGCGGAUGUAGUACUGGCGGCGGCGGCGGCACAUCACCGGUGGGGACGCCGUCGGCUCUUCGUCCGCGACCUAGGGCAUCUCUGUCGUACGGCAAUAUGCUGCAUUUGCAGUCACGCUUCGCCGCUACAGGCGGCGGCAGUGGCAGCAUAGCGGGCGGCGGCGGCGGCGGCGGCGGCGGCAGCUGGAUUAGCCGUCAGGUUCAGUCCCAACCGCCCGCAGGCUUUCCCCCGGGACCCUCCCCUCUCUCGGCCCCGUCACCCCCGCCAACACAACACCACUCCCACAACAUCGCUAGCGCAACAAGUACCCCACAAACCACCACCACCAACAACAACAACGGCCAUCACAACAACCACAACAACCAACACGAGCACCGCCGACACCAAACAGACAGCACUGCCCAAGACACGGACGCGGCCGUGGCGGCGGGUACGGCAUCGGAAGCGGCUGCCGUACAGCUGCAUCAACAGCAACAACAGAAGCAACGACCUCUUAGCAGCUUCAACGGCUUCAGGCCCCCGACAGCAACGGACUCCGCAACUGUCGCGGCAGAAUCUCCCAGCACCGCCAGCGCCGCCAACGCCCAUGCAGGUGACGUCAAUCAUUUUCCUCUUCUCACUGCGACAAGCCGACUGCAACCGGGAGAGACGCAGCAGGAGCACCGGCCGCUGCUGCCGCCACCGCUGCCGCCGCCAUCGCCGCCGCCGCCAUCGCUGCCGCCGUCACCACCCCAGCAGCAGCAGCCAGGGCCGGCUCUGGGAGGACCCUGCGCUGGAGAGGGGAUUGUCGCUGACGGCGCCGAUCCCGUGGCGUCGGCGGCGGCACUCGUUUCCAUGGUAUCGACGGCGGCGCUGGCGGCCCUCGCGACCUCCGGCGCGCGCAUUUCCAGCAGCUCGGCGGCGGGUACUGUCGUACAAGGCGUCAGCGCGACGGAGGAAGUGCUGUUGGUUGCGGGUGCCGGCGGCAGCGGCGNNNNNNNNNNNNNNNNNNNNNNNNNNNNNNNNNNNNNNNNNNNNNNNNNNNNNNNNNNNNNNNNNNNNNNNNNNNNNNNNNNNNNNNNNNNNNNNNNNNNNNNNNNNNNNNNNNNNNNNNNNNNNNNNNNNNNNNNNNNNNNNNNNNNNNNNNNNNNNNNNNNNNNNNNNNNNNNNNNNNNNNNNNNNNNNNAAGCCGCCGCCGGCGCCGCCGCCACCGCGCCCUCUGCUCCCGGCAGCGCCAUCUUCGCCCCCAGCUGGCGGGACAUGAUACCCCGUUUCAGGUGGGGUUAAGGGUUCCACUAAGGGCCGUACAGACGCCCUGGUGAACUCUGAUCGUCGCUCUGAAAACCCCAAAACCCCAGCCCAGCUGCCCCAACCCAACCACGACGCUGCGUCGAAUUUCGGGUAUACGACAACCCUAUCCCAACCUCCCCCCCCCGGCCUUCCCGUUCUUACCUUUACUGCUUGCUUCCCUUUCACCCCCCCCCGCCUCCCCCUCCCGCCCCCCCCCCUCCGCCGCACACGCCGCCGCCCCCCCUUCAGGGGCAGCGCCACCGGUGCCGACCUAUCCACGCUCCACUCCCGCACCUCCUCCCACCACCGCACUCGCCUGGCGGCCCUGGGCCAGCUGGGUCUGCCCCCGGAGGAGCUGGCGGCCGCACUGGCCACCCAGAUCCCCUCGCACGAGACCGCGGUCCUGGGGCCAGCCGGGACAGGGCUCAGGAACGACGUGCUGGGCAGGCUGCUCAUGAACAUGUUCAGGUGCGUGUGUGUGUGUGUGAAGGGGUGUGUGUGUGGAGGGGUGUGUGGAGGGGUAUGUACGUGUUACAGGUACCUGACGGGGCCUGACGACACCGGCCACAGGGGGGCUGAUACUGACCAGCCCCAACGGAAAGACCGCCUUAGAGCUCUCUCUGUGGACGGGUGCGGGGCGCGAGGGGCCUCUGUCGCUGUGUGCGUCUGUGCGUCUGUGUGUGCGUCUGUGCGUCUGUGUGUGCGGGGGGGGCGAGACUAUGCUGAGGGGUGCUCCUGAAUGAAGGGACAUAGCGGGUUGUGCGGGGGGGGGAUAGGGGGAGUUAUAAAACACAUGACAAAUUGCUCUGGCCGAUGGAGGAGCUUAAAUGAGGCACUCCCAUAGCCGUAACCCCCUUCACCUGCCUCCCCCCCUCGCACCCCCCCCUCGCACCCCCCCUUCACCUACCUCCCCCCCUUCAGACGCGCCCGACCAAACGACCAGCCGCGCUUCCUGGUACACCGGGGGUUGCGGGUGCGGAUGGGGCUGCACUCGGGACUGGAAGACCCACACGCAAUUUGCAUCAACAAAGCAUCCGGAAGGACGCAGUACGGAGGUACGACUAACGUCGUACGGCAGUACGACGGGGCGGUCGAGAUGCUGCGGGGCACGGGGCGUUGAAGCAAGGGGAAGGGAGUCUAUGUGUGCAUGUAUGCAAUUAACAGACGUGUGCACGUGUGUGUGCAUGUGUAUGUAUGUAAAUAUGAGCGCAGGAGCCGGAAAAGGAGGAGGAGGAGGAGGAGGAGGUGAUUGGUUUUGCCUGUCCCCCUCCCCCACCAUCUUCGUCACCAUUUUCCCCUCUACCCCCGACUGCGCAUGCAACCACACAUCCCCCCUUCCAAGACCGAAAACCCAAAACCCAAAACACACACGCACACGCACAUACACGCACACGCACGCAGGCUCCUUCCUGACCAUCGCCAAGCGCACUUCCGACGCCGCCAACGGUGGCCAGAUCUGCCUCACGGACGAGACGUACCGACAGAUUCCCGCGCGAUCUGUACUGCAUCGCGGCUGGGUACUGCAGAUGGGCCACCACCACCUCGGCGGCGAGUACUACACGUUCAGUGGCGGCGGGGAGGAGGAGGGGGGGGAGUGCGAGUAUCAGCUAUACCAGGUGUGUGUGUGGGGGGGGAGAGGGGGUAAGAGGGGGUAAGGGGGGGGAGAAGAGUAGCGGAGGGGGCCAAGUUGGGGUUGGGAGGGCAGGUGCGUGUAGGGAUGUUGAUAGGGCUUGUGUGAAUGCGUGUGUGUGUGUGUGUGCGUGUGUGUGCGUGUGUGUGUGUGUGUGUGCGUGUGUGUGUGUGUGUGUGUGUGUGCGUGUGUGUGCGUGUGUGUGUGUGUGUGCGUGUGUGUGCGUGUGUGUGUGUGUGCGUGUGUGUGCGUGUGUGUGCGUGUGUGUGUGUGUGUGUGUGUGUGUGUGUGUGUGUGUGCGUGUGUGCGUGUGUGUGCGUGUGUGUGCGUGUGUGUGUGUGUGUGCGUGUGUGUGCGUGUGUGUGUGUGUGUGUGUGUGUGUGUGUGCGUGUGUGCGUGUGCGUGCGUGUGUGUGUGCGUGUGUGUGUAUGCGCCUGUGUGUGUUUUGCAUCUUGUUCGCGUCGGCAAGUCAGUCAGUCAGUCAGUCAGUCAGUCGGGUGGAAACAGCUUCUUGAACAUGAGUGAGGAGGGCAUGUUCCGUUUGUGUUGGUUGGUUGGUUGGAACCAAUGAUGACCUCCCAAACGGACCUGAACGGAAUCCAGCAAUGAGGCCCUUCAUCCAGGUUGUAUGUCGUACAUCGGAACGCCCUUCCUUCCUUUUCCCCCUUCUCCCCCCUCCUCUCUUCCCCCACUCAUUCCCCUCCCCCCUUUAUCCCCAUCCAGGUGGUGGGUUACGACCUUGCCGUACGGUUGGCCCUGCUGCCCCCCCUCCGCACCCCCGCCUGUCUCAUCAGCGGCUGUCUGUCCGCCCCGGUGGGGACUCUGGCCAUCGCCUUCAUGUACGUACAUGCCGUACAGAGCUUGAUGAGCUGGAACAGCGAGGUUUCCCUGGAGGCAGUGGAGCUGUUCCACCGGGUACGGGAGGUUGAUGUGUAUGUAUGUUUGUUUGUUUGUUUGCUUGUAUGUUUGGUUGGUUGGUUGGUUGGUUGGUUGACUAUUUGUUCAUGUGCCUCCUGUCCUGACACUCCGGGCCUCCUUUCACAAAGUCGGUUAUUAGGGCUGUAUAAAUACAAAAAGGUGGUUAUAGCCAUUCGCCCCUCUUCAUUAUGGACGGACCCAGGCUAAUCAAGUUGAAUUCUAGGUGAAACAAACCUGUGUACGCGAUCCAGAAUUAAAAUAGAUCUACAUGUUCAUGUAAGGCUCAUAUUGGGCUUUUGGGUUCUGACCUGGUUACACUUUACGUUUUAGGUGUACGGCUUACACACACACACACACACACGUCAAGCUCACGGGCAUCCGUUCAAGACCCCCAAUUCCUCCCCCCCCUCCCCUUCCCCUCCCCCUUCCCCCCCCCUUCCGCCCCCCCCUCCCCCUCCCCCUUGCCGGCACUCCAGGUCGCCUCCUGCCGGUGUAAGGACCACGGCGGGUACGUGUCCGAGGGCCAGGAGGGGCUGGUGCUGGCGGCCUUCAGGGACCCGGCGCAGGCGCUGAUGUGGGCACUGACAACCCAGCAGGCGCUCGUACAUGAGCAGUGGGACCCCCUGCUUCUGGUGAGUGGCGGUGCGGGGGGGGGGGAAAGGGGGGAGGAGGGAAGGGAAUGAGAGGCGAUGGAUCGUUGCCGUUGCUGCUGCCCGGGGGGGCCCGGGGGGGCCCACUUUGCGACAUUUCAUUUUCUUGUGUGUCGCGGAGAGCGGUGAUCUGGAUCCGUCGUAGACCAUCUGACCUGCUUUUCGUCGUUGCUUUCGAUCUUGUUGAUGUACGGCAGGAGCAUGAGCUGGCGGAGGAGGUUUCCGUACUGGUUCCCGCCACGGGGCUGCUGGUGGGCGAUCACACGCACCCCGCGGGGGCCCCCGCCGGCACCCCCUCGCCGCUGCCGACGCAGCUGCUCUCCACGCAAGAUCUCCACGAUGCCGCCGCCGCCACCGCCACCACCGCCACCACCGCCGCCGCCGCCGCCGCCGCCGCCGCCCCCGCCGCCCCUGUAUCAACUGAUGCCGCCGGCGCUGCGGCCGCCGCUGGCGUCGGCGGCGUCGGUGGUCUGGGUUCGGGCAUGGGCAUCGGCGCCGCCGUGGCGGAAAUGUACGACAACGACGACGGCGACGUGCCGCCGGGCAUGGUGCGCAAGGUG